RNAcentral lists this long non-coding RNA (325 nucleotides) under Gallus gallus (chicken). RNAcentral describes it as "long non-coding RNA NONGGAT002521". The record is from RNAcentral. Lineage: Eukaryota; Metazoa; Chordata; Aves; Galliformes; Phasianidae.
UAGCACCUUCUCAGAUGAAGUGUGUCAUACCUUCAUGCCACUUUACAGAAACAAGGAAGUGAGAGAUGGACUAAGGCAGAUACUAUUUGAUCCCCAUCAGGAAUGCAGAAUCAGUGUGCCUCCAUCACCCACCCACAUGUUUUGGACGACAUUCAACCACAGCAGGUUACAGGCCUUUUUCACAGCUCGGAGCUGCAAGCUUAACUUCAGAACUGCUUACCUGCUUUGCGUGUGUCAGUGGAAACAGAGGCAGGCUUAACAUCUCUUAUUAGGUCUAGGGCCGUGAGGUAGCGCUGUUCUUCUGUUGAGCUUCCAUAGAUGAGGA